UGAGAUGUUAAAGCGCAAGGAAAUUCAUUUGAGGCAGUGUGUCAAAUGGUGUUUGACAAGAAUGAGCCACUCUGUCUUUGUUCACUAUAUAUUUAAUAUUUUAUUAUUGUUGUUGUUGUUGUUAUUAAUUGGCUUUCUGUAUCCUAUGCCUUUUAUUUAUAAAGACACUAAAAAAAAACCAUGUUUGUAAUUUUAAUAACAUUUCCCCAUCUUUUAAUAUCCAGAGCUACUUUAUAAAUUCUCUAAACCAAAAGUAUUUCCUCAAGAUCUCCUUUCUCCCCCCAGUUCCUAUAGGGAAAAAUCACCCAACAUAGUUCGGGUUACAAGAAGGGUCAGCCACACAAUUCAGUGCUUCAGUUUUAAAAGUAAAACAGACAGACACUAGAGUGUUGUCCAGAGCAUCAUAGAAAGCAGACCUAGCAGAUUUAGGAAAAACAGAAGUCAAAGUUUAAUACCACAUUUACUUCUGAGUUUUCUGAAUUACUUUGUGAGAUCAUGUAGAAGACUCAGGAAAUCUGUUUCUUCACCAAGAUCAAGUUAGAAUGUUUGACACUGCCAUGCUGGGGAUGACGUGGCAGCAGGAAGCCUGGCUCGUGUGGUGGCUUCUGGUCGUUCUGGACUAGCAGCUUAUCCUUAUAAAAUGCUGAUUGGCAAUGCCAAGUCACCGGGACCAAUUUCUGUUUUAUAAUGUUUAAGUUUAGAACAGAACAUCACCUGAACUGUAGUGCUUUGAGAGGAUGGAGGUGGAAACCCCCAUUUUCAGUCUCAUCACUUCUGUGGUUAUUUAUACAAGGGCUGUGCUGUGCUACCAUAUUCCUGCUCGAAUAUGAUGGAGUUUGUUUAUUUUCUCGCAUUGUUAAAUGUUCCUUGCCCCUAAAGGUCCAUGUUAAGAACAAUGUUCUGAAUAUAUGAUUUGGUUACAAAAAGUAUGUCUUCUUAUUGAAGAGUUAGCUCAGUGGUUGAUAUUUGUGCUAAGAUGCAGCUUCCCAGUUACUGUUACAAGUUACAGCUGCCAAUGGGAAGACUCAAUAAGCCAGCAAAGGCCUUGAAAAUCAUGAUUUAUUAAAUUUAUAUCUGGCAGAAGGACCUAAAUAAACUGUGAACUACAUUGU
This 1112-nucleotide long non-coding RNA is filed under the name Mus musculus (house mouse). Its description in RNAcentral is "long non-coding RNA chr8:107373361-107374473". Lineage: Eukaryota; Metazoa; Chordata; Mammalia; Rodentia; Muridae. The record is from RNAcentral.